AAUAGAUACCCGGGUAGUCCACGCCCUAAACGUUGCGAACUAGGUGUUGGCGAGAUUGACCUCGUCAGUGCCGCAGCUAACGCAUUAAGUUCGCCGCCUGGGAAGUACGGUCGCAAGAUUAAAACUCAAAGGAAUAGGCGGGGGCCCGCACAAGCAGCGGAGCGUGUGGUUUAAUUCGAGGCUACGCGAAGAACCUUACCAAGGCUUGACAUGAACCGGAAAGACCUGGAAACAGGUCCCCCACUUGUGGUCGGUUUACAGGUGGUGCAUGGUUGUCGUCAGCUCGUGUCGUGAGAUGUUGGGUUAAGUCCCGCAACGAGCGCAACCCUCGUUCUAUGUUGCCAGCACGUGAUGGUGGGGACUCAUAGGAGACUGCCGGGGUCAACUCGGAGGAAGGUGGGGAUGACGUCAAAUCAUCAUGCCCUUUAUGUCCUGGGCUACACACGUGCUACAAUGGUCGGUACAACGAGGAGCUACACAGCGAUGUGACGCAAAUCUCUUAAAGCCGAUCCCAGUUCGGAUUGCAGG
RNAcentral lists this ribosomal RNA (528 nucleotides) under uncultured bacterium. RNAcentral describes it as "bacterial SSU rRNA". It matches the Rfam family "Bacterial small subunit ribosomal RNA", at positions 777 to 1304 of the family's 1533-position model. The record is from RNAcentral.